Molecule: non-coding RNA, 539 nt
Organism: Pelobates cultripes (western spadefoot toad)
Lineage: Eukaryota; Metazoa; Chordata; Amphibia; Anura; Pelobatidae
Source: the annotation of a GenBank genome assembly
GGGGGUUCCCCCCAGUAUAUGUAUGUCACUAGUACCGGAAUAAGAUUCGCUUGGGGGUCACCCAGCGUAAGGGGGGUCACCCCUGUUAAUCACUCCGUUAUGUGUCUCCACUACUGUGUCCUGGGAGGUGUAUCCCUGUGGGGAAGGAGUGUAUCCAGUGGUUGUGAGGUCCAGUGGCAGUAGGGAGCUGAGUAAGUAAUCAGCUCUAUUUAAUUUCCCUGCCAGCAGACAGAGUAAUGCAUCCACUAUGUGCCCACAGCAGGGAACAGUCCAUUCAUAAUCCUCCAGACGUACAAUAAAACUGUUAUUCAACAUGUCAAUUGUAUAGAACAGAAUAGAGCAAACUGCCAGCAGACAUGAGUACUGCAUCCACUACAUGCACACAGCAGGGAUCAGUCCUACAUAUUCAUGCAGAGUUACAUAUAAAACUUUUAUUUCACAUGCCAAUGAAAUAUGACAGUAUAGAGCUCAGCAGUGAACAGUCCAUUCAUAAUCUUCCAGAAAAGGUACAUAUAAAACCUUUAUUCCACAUGCCCAUG